CAGUCGCCGCGGGAAUACGGAGGGGGCUAGCGUUGUUCGGAAUUACUGGGCGUAAAGCGCACGUAGGCGGUUACUCAAGUCAGAGGUGAAAGCCCGGGGCUCAACCCCGGAACUGCCUUUGAAACUAGGUGACUAGAAUCUUGGAGAGGCGAGUGGAAUUCCGAGUGUAGAGGUGAAAUUCGUAGAUAUUCGGAAGAACACCAGUGGCGAAGGCGACUCGCUGGACAAGUAUUGACGCUGAGGUGCGAAAGCGUGGGGAGCAAACAGGAUUAGAUACCCCAGUAGUCCCUGUCUCUUAUAC
Molecule: ribosomal RNA, 301 nt
Filed under: uncultured bacterium
Lineage: Bacteria
Description: partial 16S ribosomal RNA
Rfam family: Bacterial small subunit ribosomal RNA
Source: RNAcentral